This 57-nucleotide transfer RNA is filed under the name Ovis aries (sheep). It matches the Rfam family "tRNA", at positions 8 to 63 of the family's 71-position model. Rfam says of the family: Transfer RNA (tRNA) molecules are approximately 80 nucleotides in length. Their secondary structure includes four short double-helical elements and three loops (D, anti-codon, and T loops). The record is from Rfam by way of RNAcentral. Lineage: Eukaryota; Metazoa; Chordata; Mammalia; Artiodactyla; Bovidae.
UGGCUCAGACGGUAAAAGCAUCUGCCUACAAUGCAGGAGACCAGGGUUUGAUCCCUG